UUUAUUUUUUAUUUUUCUAUUUGAUGUAGGUCCUGUUUGUCCUCGCCUGCCUAGUCGCUGUAAGCCUAGCCGCUCCAAGGAAUGAGUUGACCUGUGACAUCUGUAUUGAUGUUAUAACAGACUUUGAUGAAUGGUUAACCAGUGAUAAAACAGAACAAGAGAUUGUUGACUUUAUUUCAGAGAUUUGUGCCGCUAUCGGUUCCAUUUUACCCGACCUCGAGGCCGCCUGCAACUUCCUGAUUCAGUCUCAGCUUCCAGCCAUCAUUGAUGGCAUUGUCCAGGACAACCUGAACCCUACUGAAGUGUGCACAAACAUCCUUGGUGCCUGCCCUUGAAUAAUCCGGAAUAUAUUUAUGUACAAAUAACUUAAUAAGUGACAAAAUUCAAAUAAAUUUUCUAAUUAAA
Molecule: long non-coding RNA, 405 nt
Organism: Eurytemora carolleeae
Lineage: Eukaryota; Metazoa; Arthropoda; Copepoda; Calanoida; Temoridae
Exons: 3
Source: RefSeq, a predicted model, not a curated record